AUAGCGUGGUGUGGACAUCUACGAAUUAGAUCUUUGAAUCUCUCCCAAGUCUCAUGGAAUAUUUCUCCAUCCAUCUAGAAAAAAUUGAUAAUGGCUUUUUUAAUUU
Molecule: small nucleolar RNA, 106 nt
Organism: Elaeis guineensis (African oil palm)
Lineage: Eukaryota; Viridiplantae; Streptophyta; Magnoliopsida; Arecales; Arecaceae
Source: RefSeq, a predicted model, not a curated record